GAUGUUGUAGCUCAGUGGUAGAGCACUUGCUUAGCAUGUGUGAGGCACUGAGUUCAAUCCUCAGCACCACA
Molecule: transfer RNA, 71 nt
Filed under: Marmota monax (woodchuck)
Lineage: Eukaryota; Metazoa; Chordata; Mammalia; Rodentia; Sciuridae
Rfam family: tRNA
About the family: Transfer RNA (tRNA) molecules are approximately 80 nucleotides in length.
Source: Rfam by way of RNAcentral